This is a long non-coding RNA of Oncorhynchus tshawytscha (Chinook salmon), 2212 nucleotides long. The record is from Ensembl. NCBI's taxonomy places the organism in Eukaryota, Metazoa, Chordata, Actinopteri, Salmoniformes, Salmonidae.
UGUUCACUUCCGUUCUCAGAACGUUUAAAAUACGUUCAGUUUUACCGGUCAGGAAACUUAUGGCUUCAUUCCCAGAACCAAUCGGGAAACCAAGACUUCUAAGGAACCAAAUGUGCUAGGUGCAUAAGGUGGAGAUUGCGCAAAUACGAACUGCCCUUUUACGAUUCCUCACAAAACUAAUAAGGUUAGUUUGAAAAUGAUCUUUUAGCUUUUGCCAUUUCAAUGUAUCCAGGCAGUCACGGUCAUCAAGCUCUGAGAAAACAAGGAACAACCAAUAUUUUAUAGCAGUUCAUAGGAACAGUUAUUACUUGGUUAUAAAUAAUGCAACAUUCUGUGGUUUCUUGACAUAUUCAUUAGAUAUCAAUAAAACAUGAUAAGAAGGUUCAUUCCUUAGGUCAACCUUUAUGUUGCUGACAUAGGAAGUCAUAAUAUCCCUUAUCUCUCACAACUUUAUGGCAAUGAUCAUUUUUGCAUAUAACUGACCAGACAUUGCAUAUUUUUAUGUAUAAUUAAAUGUCACAUUCCAUCUUAGUGCUUGUUUGUCAGAUUUCCAGUUCUAAGAUCAGAUGUGAUAAAACCUCUUCAGAACAUGACGCAGAAACAGGGCCAGUACAAAGCCUGGUGUUGUGUGUCAGCCUCACAUGCUAGGAUCCAUAUAAGGGUUAUGAUGCGCACCAUAUGAUCAAAGACAUGGGUGUUCUGCAAUGUUACUGAUAAAUGUAGUCUCUAGAUUUAAAGAGAUAAUACAUCUGGUAAAUGUAGUCUCUAGAUUUAAAGAGAUAAUACCUCUGGUAAAUGUAGUUUCUAGAUUUAAAGAGAUAAUACAUCUGGUAAAUGUAGUCUCUAGAUUUAAAGAGAUAAUACCUCUGGUAAAUGUAGUCUCUAGAUUUAAAGAGAUAAUACAUCUGGUAAAUGUAGUCUCUAGAUUUAAAGAGAUAAUACCUCUGGUAAAUGUAGUCUCUAGAUUUAAAGAGAUAAUACCUCUGGUAAAUGUAGUCUCUAGAUUUAAAGAUGAUCUAAUCUGGUAAAUGUUACACUGUAAUUUCAUUAAGGUAUGUUAUUGUGUAAAGCAACAUAUACAGAAUUUUACAUUUUUACUAAAUCACAUUCUUUCCAUUUUAUUUUAGUUAUGUUAUAUAAAGUUAUGUUAUACAAAAAUACAAGCAACAAUAUUUCGUAACAUUCAUGUGCAAAAUGUAUCUUAUUUGUAACAUACUGUGGAUCAAGUAUUCAUAAAUUGACUUUGACAGAGCUAAGCUCCAGAUUCCAUGUCUUUCAUUGAUCGUUUCCCAGAAUUCUCCCUAAUCCAAAGGGAAUGGGGCAUGCUGUUCCUGCCUGUGUUCAGUCAGUUCAUUUCUUCUUCCUGGUCCAUGUGGAAUCCCAAACAUUGAACACCUGAUUAGCAUUGCCAGGACCACCAUCAGUGGUCAUUGGUAAACCAAGCAUCAGUCAUUAUGACACUGCUGUAGUCCUUUUUGAUUGAUCGAUCCAUGUGACAUCUUUAUCACAGAUUACCAUCAGACUUGUAAAAACACACAUCCUCCAUGUUCAGAGGAACAUGCUGGUCCGGUCCAGUCUGGUCCGCUCUAUAGGGACCUGGUCAGAGGAACAUGUUGGUCUGGUCCAGUCUGGUCCGCUCUAUAGGGACCUGGUCAGAGGAACAUGUUGGUCUGGUCCAGUCUGGUCCGCUCUAUAGGGACCUGGUCAGAGGAACAUGCUGGUCCGGUCCAGUCUGGUCCGCUCUAUAGGGACCUGGUCAGAGGGACAUGUUGGUCUGGUCCAGUCUGGUCCGCUCUAUAGGGACCUGGUCAGAGGGACAUGUUGGUCUGGUCCAGUCUGGUCCCCCUCUAUAGAGACCUGGUCAGAGGGACAUGUUGGUCUGGUCCAGUCUGGUCCCCCUCUAUAGGGACCUGGUCAGAGGGACAUGUUGGUCUGGUCCAGUCUGGUCCAGUCUCGUCCCCUCUAUAGGGACCAGGUCUGAGGGACAUGUUGGUCUGGUCCAGUCUGGUCCCCUCUAUAGAGACCUGGUCUGAGGGACAUGUUGGUCUGGUCCAGUCUGGUCCCCUCUAUAGGGACCUGGUCUGAGGGACAUGUUGGUCUGGUCCAGUCUGGUCCCCUCUAUAGGGACCUGGUCUGAGGGACAUGUUGGUCUGGUCCAGUCUGGUCCCCUCUAUAGGGACCUGGUCUGAGGGACAUGUUGGUCUGGUCCAGU